AAGUGAACACAGCUCUUUUAGAAUUUUUCUAGCAGGAUUUCUGACUUUGGUCAGAAAAGUCCAAA
Molecule: small nuclear RNA, 65 nt
Filed under: Mus spicilegus (steppe mouse)
Lineage: Eukaryota; Metazoa; Chordata; Mammalia; Rodentia; Muridae
Description: U7 small nuclear RNA (ENSMSIG00000022746.1)
Rfam family: U7 small nuclear RNA
About the family: Animal histone pre-mRNAs are spliced by a different mechanism than nuclear pre-mRNAs and self-splicing introns. This processing involves the U7 snRNP, which contains only one RNA species: U7.
Source: Rfam by way of RNAcentral